Molecule: ribosomal RNA, 271 nt
Filed under: uncultured Staphylococcus sp.
Lineage: Bacteria; Bacillati; Bacillota; Bacilli; Caryophanales; Staphylococcaceae
Description: partial 16S ribosomal RNA
Rfam family: Bacterial small subunit ribosomal RNA
Source: RNAcentral
CGUUAGCGGCGGAUGGGUGAGUAACACGUGGGUAACCUACCUAUAAGACUGGGAUAACUUCGGGAAACCGGAGCUAAUACCGGAUAAUAUUUCAACCGCAUGGUUCGAUAGUGAAAGAUGGUUUUGCUAUCACUUAUAGAUGGACCUGCGCCGUAUUAGCUAGUUGGUAAGGUAACGGCUUACCAAGGCUACGAUACGUAGCCGACCUGAGAGGGUGAUCGGCCACACUGGAACUGAGACACGGUCCAGACUCCUACGGGAGGCAGCAGCC